This 65-nucleotide transfer RNA is filed under the name Scrobicularia plana. Its description in RNAcentral is "tRNA-Arg". The record is from RNAcentral. Lineage: Eukaryota; Metazoa; Mollusca; Bivalvia; Cardiida; Scrobiculariidae.
UAGGGGUUAGCAUAAAAGUGCGUAUAGUUUCGGCCUAUAAGGUAAGCUUAGAUGCUUACCCCUAU